This is a long non-coding RNA of Gasterosteus aculeatus aculeatus (three-spined stickleback), 1331 nucleotides long. NCBI's taxonomy places the organism in Eukaryota, Metazoa, Chordata, Actinopteri, Perciformes, Gasterosteidae. The record is from Ensembl.
GUGUCUCAGUUUGUUGGAAUUCUGUGGAUUGAACUGAAAGUGAAAACGUUGCGGAAUCAGCGUGACAAUGUUGUUUUGUUUCCUCACGGUGGUCGAAAGCGUCCCGGUUAAUCUCCCGAAUCCAAGCUGUCAAUUUACAUUAUAAUAAUUUUAUUCAACGGUCCUCCAAAGUAAAAUAAAUGCAAAAUAUAAUAAUAUUUGUAAAAUGAUAUGCAGUGUUGUUUGCUGGGUAAAAUAUGAUGCUGGUGGAAGUUCAUGUUCAACGUUAAAUUGUGGCGUGGUCAUGGAUGGCAUGUUUAGAAUGAUCUGUUUCAUAAGGGUCUAAUGUUUGUUGAUAAACAAUAACCACGGCGUGAAGAAAUUGGUCAUAAAAUGUGUUCUGGUCUCUUAUUGCAGGUAAGAACCAACCUCUCUGCUAACUGAAGCCGAAGUGUGUUAAAACUUGAAUUAUCUUCACUGACCAGCAGGGGGCGACUGCUCCAGGUUGCAACAUGGAGGUCACCCAACUUCUGACUGGAUUUAUUCCCUCAGCAAACAUUGUAAAGUGCCUUUCACUCCCUUCAGUUCAUGACACUGGAAGAGGGCCAAACAAAAUGUUGACCCUGAUCCCCUGGCGUCAUUUCUGAGGCCGGCGGCGCUGGUCCUCGGCUCUGCCUACAAGCAGCCACUACUGGCUGUCGAGAGCAGACAGAGACGUACCCAGGAUUGAAAUAAGCCACCUGACCCCUUAAUUCCAAUCUGAUGGUUUUGCAUGCGACUGCGCUCUUUAUGGAGUCUUCAUUCAUGGGGAACUGCCUGGUCAAGGUUGCACCCCAGAUGCCAGCGGGCCCCAGACCAAACAGGCCCGCAGCCUGGGAGACUGCUGCUGUGUGACAUCACUUCCUGCCAUUGUGUGGAGAACGCUGAGUCGUACAAGAGAGCGGGGCCAGUAACAUCCCAAUCAAGUGUCUGGCUGCCGUCAGACCGACAAGAAAAACAGAACUUACAAUUAGAGGAAAACAACAGACUUUAGGCCAGACGUAUGAGUCAUAAGAGAUAAAGACACGGCAGUUGCUUAUGUCUUGGCCUGGUGGACAAUAAAAAAUGAUCUAUUUUUGACUAUACGAGACAAACAGCAUUUAUUUUGAAUGGGAUCAACCAUAUUCAUCUUUGAAUGGAUGGGAACAAUUCCAAAAUAUGGAAAAAUGUAAGUUGUCUUCUGCCCCCAAGUGGCCAAUGAAAUAUCAACUGUGUUUUAAGAAAACUACAAUGAAACAUAUUGCAUGAGUUUGAAAAAAGAAAGAUUAGGAAAAAUAUGAGUCUCACAACUGCAUGUUAUACGCUAUGCUGGC